UACGUAGGUCCCGAGCGUUGUCCGGAUUUAUUGGGCGUAAAGCGAGCGCAGGUGGUUUAUUAAGUCUGGUGUAAAAGGCAGUGGCUCAACCAUUGUAUGGAUUGGAAACUGGUAGACUUGAGUGCAGGAGAGGAGAGUGGAAUUCCAUGUGUAGCGGUGGAAUGCGUAGAUAUAUGGAGGAACACCGGUGGCGAAAGCGGCUCUCUGGUCUGUAACUGACGCUGAGGCUCGAAAGCGUGGGUAGCGAACAGG
This 252-nucleotide ribosomal RNA is filed under the name uncultured bacterium. RNAcentral describes it as "partial 16S ribosomal RNA". It matches the Rfam family "Bacterial small subunit ribosomal RNA", at positions 524 to 776 of the family's 1533-position model. The record is from RNAcentral.